Coturnix japonica (Japanese quail) is the source of this 2175-nucleotide non-coding RNA. The record is from RefSeq and is a predicted model, not a curated record. NCBI's taxonomy places the organism in Eukaryota, Metazoa, Chordata, Aves, Galliformes, Phasianidae.
CGCCUGCGCGGGCCCGGACACACUCUGCACAUGCGCAUCGCCUGCGCCUGCGCCGGGUCCGGCCGUGAGCUGAGGGGCGGAGCGGAGUGAGGAAAUGCAGAUCGCGUUCGGCCAUGGAUGGUGGUGUCUGCUGUGCUGCUACGUGCACUGCGCUGUGCAUUGCUCAUCUGCCGGGUAGAACCGACCAGCUGCGGUGUAAGGAACAUCGACCCCUCUGCAUUAGAGCACAUUACAGCCAUCAGCACCGGGAUGUCUCAAAAAGGUUUUUAAAACUAAAUGCUGAAUUAUGUUCUAGAAAAGACUUCCACUGUAUUUGUUACAUAUAUCAAACCUACACGAUAUGUGUGCAAUGUUGCUAAGUAUCUAAGUGUCCCAUCGCAAUCAGGAAGAACAUCUACCUGAGGAAACAGCCACAGCCUUCAUGGGGAUCUCUGCACCCUGCUAAAAUCAAAAUAAUAACUAAUUUGGGGGAAGGAGGGGAAGAAAGGCUUCAGCCGAAUGAUACACAGUGAAAAACAUGUCUCAAAAAGGCAAAAAAUGAGGGGUGGUGAGAUGAUCUGAGACAGAGGCAUCGUGGGAGCUCUCGACUUCAGUAGGAAAAGACUUGUUCCCCUCAGAACUGACUAAACCAAACAAACUGUGCUUCUUCCUGUUUCUCAGGGUGUUUUCUCCCAAAGCAAAUCCGUUCCCUAAAAGCAAACACAACUUGCUGCAGCCUUCCCAGCCAUUAGGGGGGAGAUGCGCCCCAGGGGUGAUGCUGGAAAUCCUCAGUGCUUCCCUCAAACUCUUGGGAAAUUUCCAGACAGUAUUUGGUCACAACCACCCAUCCACAAUGUUCUGCUUCCUUUUCUUCCUUCUCAGGCUCAGUACAAAGUGCUCCACAUCACAUUAUCCUAAAAAUCACUGUCCUAUAAAAAAGCACAGCAUCUCUACUGUUGAUUUUGGUGUAGGGCACAUGAAAAGCAGCAUGAUUUUGUCCUCCAGCAGCAGACACAUGGCAAUUUAUGACUGCUAGGUACGUAUUGUUUGAAGAGAAACCAUUGCAAGGCCCUUAGCUCCAGAUGAAUUCUAAGUUGUGGUACCAUUUCUCAGCAGCUUUUGGCAUUCUGGUGCUUCUUGAUUAUUUUGGUAGGGCUUUAUUUAAGAUACUUUAGUUUAAUACACUUUCUUAAGCUUGUACAUAAACUCAAAUAAGAAAUUACAGCCUAAUUCAUCCACAAAAAUACCCCACUGCUUUGUCAGGCUUUAAACUGAACGUCAAUGGUUUUUCCUCCCUAAAAAUUUCCUUUCCUGGCUGUCAAAAGUGACAGUUGUGGUAGAGUCACACAUAAGAGGAAAGUCCCCACUUUGUUCUCUGCUGCCUCUCAGCACAGGCUUAGGCCUCGUAAAACCUACAGAGCCAAGCAGCAUAGCAAGAGCUGCAAAUCUAUCUAGGUGGGAACAGGCCCUCUCGUGAAAUUUCCAGACAGUUGUAAUUCUAGUUAAGUCAAGAAAUGCCCCUGAGUCACUUCCUUGGAGGGAUUCUGGCACUUCUGCUUUUUGCCUGAGUGAGAGGGUAGGGAAUCAGAUGAGCAAACCAAGGCACGCAGGGAAAACAACCUGGCCAGAUCUGCCUUCCUCUGUAAGUCACAUCUGAACUCAGUUCCUGAUGGAGGGUGUCACUCUGGAGGAAAUGGGCCAACUCUGUGACCAAUGGCAAAAAUAUUUUCCUGCUCCUUUUAAGUGCAGUUUGCUAAACAAACUAAUUUCAGUUAAAUGAGAAAGAAAAGCAGGAAGGAAAUGAUCUGCCAAGGUUUUGGUAAGAGGUGACAAUAUCUCUAAGCUACAAAUUCAGCAAACACGGAUUUCCAUCAGAAGCUGGCGGGCUCCCAACAGAAGCCGCACAGCCGCUCCAGCAGCGCUGCCAGCUCUAUCUCCAUCGAGAGGUUGGUUUCACCUCCCGAGAGGACAUUGCUCCAACAGAUUUGUCCAUUAGAGGGCAUUAUAGGCCACCGAAAUCCCUGAAGUUCCAAGUGUCAGAAAACAGUCCGUAUUUAUUUCCAUUUGAUCAAUGAAUGGUGGUUUUGUAUUCUAUCCUUGACAUUUGCCUUACUAUCUCACUUGCAACGUGCUGUAUAGAUUUCAAAAUGCAACGAAACUCUCUCUGAUGGAUUAAACCAUGGAUUUUAUUCUGUA